RNAcentral lists this ribosomal RNA (758 nucleotides) under Lactobacillus sp. RNAcentral describes it as "bacterial SSU rRNA". It matches the Rfam family "Bacterial small subunit ribosomal RNA", at positions 49 to 762 of the family's 1533-position model. The record is from RNAcentral. Lineage: Bacteria; Bacillati; Bacillota; Bacilli; Lactobacillales; Lactobacillaceae.
UAAUACAUGCAAGUCGAACGAGCUGCGCCUAAUGAUAGUUGAUGCUUGCAUUAACUUGACUUAAGUUAGCAGCGAGUGGCGAACUGGUGAGUAACACGUGGAUAACCUGCCCAGAAGAAGGGGAUAACACCUGGAAACAGAUGCUAAUACCGUAUAACAACGAAAACCACAUGGUUUUCGUUUGAAAGAUGGCCUUUGUGCUAUCGCUUUUGGAUGGAUCCGCGGCGCAUUAGCUAGUUGGUGAGAUAAAGGCUCACCAAGGCAAUGAUGCGUAGCCGACCUGAGAGGGUAAUCGGCCACAUUGGGACUGAGACACGGCCCAGACUCCUACGGGAGGCAGCAGUAGGGAAUCUUCCACAAUGGACGAAAGUCUGAUGGAGCAAUGCCGCGUGAGUGAAGAAGGGUUUCGGCUCGUAAAACUCUGUUGUUAGAGAAGAACGGGCGUGAGAGUAACUGCUCACGUCGCGACGGUAUCUAACCAGAAAGUCACGGCUAACUACGUGCCAGCAGCCGCGGUAAUACGUAGGUGGCAAGCGUUGUCCGGAUUUAUUGGGCGUAAAGCGAGCGCAGGCGGUCUUCUAAGUCUGAUGUGAAAGCCUUCGGCUUAACCGGAGAAGUGCAUCGGAAACUGGGAAACUUGAGUGCAGAAGAGGACAGUGGAACUCCAUGUGUAGCGGUGAAAUGCGUAGAUAUAUGGAGGAACACCAGUGGCGAAGGCGGCUGUCUAGUCUGUAACUGACGCUGAGGCUCGAAAGCAU